UGGGAAGUGUUUUCCCAACACAAGUAAUCGAAUAGAUCACUACAGGACAUUUAUGAUACUAGUACCAUUUACAUUUGGAAACAUAAACAAACAAUUUUACAUCAAAGUCGGCUAUGCAGAAAUGAACAAUGGCAUUUAAAUCACUGAGAACACAUUUCACAGAAAUUUUUACAAGUAUUGUUCCAGCAAACAAAUAUACUUGGGGUACUUAUAGCCCGAUGGAAAGUAGCACCUUCGUCACCGCUUAAGCCAAAAUCUAUUUUCAGAGAUCAAGGCCUAGCUUAAGUCGAGAGUGAAGCCUCCCCACGUUAGUGAAUUGAGUUUGGCUUUGAGUCUCAUCUGGAAGAGGGGUGAAAUUCCUAGGGGAGGGGGAGGGGGAGCGGGAGCUAUUUUCUAAAGUAUGAGAUAAUCAGCACAAGUACCAUUUUUGUCCUUUCAUUUGGUAAUCUUUUUAUUCAGCAGUAACCAGUAAAUCCAACUUACUAUUUCAUUCAGCGACAUCAAAUAAAAUCUGUAUUUCAUACAUAAAAUUCAGCUUGACAGGAAAAUUUGAGGAAGUUUGUUAAAUAUUUUUGUCAUUCUAAAGCUCGUUGAAAAAAAUUGGUCAAAGGGCAAUCAAGUUCUAGAAAAAGACAUUUAAUA
RNAcentral lists this long non-coding RNA (642 nucleotides) under Olea europaea subsp. europaea. Lineage: Eukaryota; Viridiplantae; Streptophyta; Magnoliopsida; Lamiales; Oleaceae. The record is from RNAcentral.